AUUCUGCUCGGCAGUCGACAGGGUGAAGUUUAGGUUAAUGUGUUAAGUAUUACGUUAUUGUGAAACAAUUUAUCUCAAAAUUCUGUAAAGGCAAUUGGCAAAUUAUCUAGCUCAUAAAAUCUUGCAAUUUGAUCUAGGAGAACGUAUGCACUCCAGCAAAUGCGUACGGCGGUGCAGUGGGCGUAUUGUGUCGAGUACGUGAUAUCCAGAUGGUCGGCAUUGGUUUCUAAUUUGACGUACUGAAGCCGUCUGGAACAAGAGUGCUAAGAGCCAAGCCAUGGGGAAGAAAAUUCAUUCUCUCUGUUCAAAUGACCAGUGUAACAGCCAAAAUGACAAGGGCUUUGUUGUUGUUGCUUAGACGUUCUGAUGUUCGAAUUUUGAUAAGGUUGUAGAUCCUGCCAAUACGGAAGUUCAGCCAAUGUUGUAGCACGACAAGUUGAUGCCCUCGUUACGUCGUGCGGUUCGGGUUAGUUUCACCGAGAUGAGGAAAAGCUAAUAUAAAAGCUGUACAAAAAACGAAAGCAAAUCUCAGAGGAGCAGGCAAAAUGCAUGGACAUAAUUUAAGUUGCUUCUGUAAAAUCAACAAAACAAACAAAAAAUAUUAUAAAAAUUGAAUUUAAUU
This is a long non-coding RNA of Daphnia magna, 622 nucleotides long. RefSeq lists it as uncharacterized. Lineage: Eukaryota; Metazoa; Arthropoda; Branchiopoda; Diplostraca; Daphniidae. The record is from RefSeq and is a predicted model, not a curated record. The transcript has 2 exons.